RNAcentral lists this non-coding RNA (27 nucleotides) under Mus musculus (house mouse). The record is from RNAcentral. Lineage: Eukaryota; Metazoa; Chordata; Mammalia; Rodentia; Muridae.
UAGAGCAUUGUGAAUGAACUAAGAGGC